Molecule: long non-coding RNA, 2681 nt
Filed under: Xyrichtys novacula (pearly razorfish)
Lineage: Eukaryota; Metazoa; Chordata; Actinopteri; Labriformes; Labridae
Source: RNAcentral
GAGGAGUUAGCGAAAUUCCAAUGUGUGCGAAUCGGCAAAAAAUGCAAAAUAGCCCUUUUACCGUACAUUAUACAGAUACGCGCUCUUUGACUUUUUCGUAGAUCUAAUUGAGAUACACAUGAUUGUCAAUUUUUGUGUCAUUUUGCCAAAGCGUACAGGCGUGACAGUCAACAAUGUGUAUUUUCACCUUAGGGGACAAGAAAAAAUGGACUUUUUUCUCCUGCCAUGGGGGGGCGCUCUUUUAGGGAGUAAAAAUUCCUUCACAAAUGUGUUGAUGGCUGGACAUUGCAUCAUCCUAGAAAACUUGGAGGCCAGUGAGGACAAAAAUAAAAAGUUAUAAGACUUUUAAAAAUGUGGAUUUUUGGGUUAUCUUUGGCGCCCCCUAGAACGUAAACCGUGGGGUGCAGCGUCAUGAUUUGAAUAACUUUUAAUGGCCAUGGGGUGUAGAUUGGCCUGAGCAAAUGUGGUGCCGGUGGAACGAAAGCCUUCGGAGGAGUUAGCGAAAUUCCACUGUGUGCGAAUCGGCAAAAAAUGCGGAAUAACCCUUUAACCGUACAUUUGACAGAUACGCGCGCAUGGACUUUUUUGUAGAUCUUAUUGAGAUACAUGUGUGUGUCAAUUUUUGUGUCAUUUUGACAAAGCGUACAGGCGUGACACUCAACAAUGUGUAUUUUCACCUUAGGGGACAAGAAAAAAUGGACUUUUUUCUCCUGCCAUGGGGGGGCGCUCUUUUGGGGAGUAAAAAUUCCUUCACAAAUGUGUUGAUGGCUGGACAUUGCAUCAUCCUAGAAAACUUGGAGGCCAGUGAGGGCAAAAAUAAAAAGUUAUAAGACUUUUAAAUAUGUGGAUUUUAGGGUUAUCUUUGGCGCCCCCUAGAACCUAAACCGUGGGGUGCAGCGUCAUGAUUUGAAUAACUUUUAAUGGCCAUGGGGUGUAGAUUGGCCUGAGCAAAUGUGGUGCCGGUGGAACGAAAGCCUUCAAAGGAGUUAGCGAAAUUCCAAUGUGUGCGGAUCGGCAAAAAAUGCGAAAUAACCCUUUAACCGUACAUUUGACAGAUACGCCCGCACUGACUUUUUUGUAGAUCUUAUUGAGAUACAUGUGUGUGUCAAAUUUUGUGUCAUUUUGACAAAGCGUACAGGCGUGACACUCAAUAGUGUGAAUUUUCACCUUAGGGGGCGCUAUGGAGCCAUUUUGCAUUUUCUUGUUUGGGCGACUUCGGAAUAUCAAAUUUUUCACCAGGCCCGGUCGUCCUGCCAAAUUUCAUGAGUUUUCGCCAGUGGGAAGUGGGCCAUUUUCCAGUUCAAAGGGGAGGAAAAAGAAAAAAGAAACAAAGAAAAACCCCUUGGGGAAUAAUAGGGCUCUCGCAGCUGCUUAGCAGCUACGCUCGGGCCCUAAAGAAACAAAGAAAAACCACUUGGGGAAUAAUAGGGCUCUCGCAGCUGCUUAGCAGCUACGCUCGGGCCCUAAUAAUAACAAAAGAAGGAAACAUGCAGGAACAAGAGGGCUCUCGCAGCUGCUUAGCAGCUACGCUCGGGCCCUAACUAGGACCCCGUUGGGGCACUGGCGGGCCCGAGCCGUGUCGCGUCCCCCCCCCCAACGUGCUGCCUUCCCGUCCCAUUUGUGUCCUCUGGCCAUCGCCCUCUCUGGUAACGCCCAUCACUGCAAAGACCCUUUUCCUUCAUCGGCGUUUGCUGUUCUUCCUGCCAGUGCGUGUUGCUUUCACUUACACUUGCCACAGCCAGCCUCGUGAGUGCCUAGCCUAUUGGAUAUCACUGUCACCUACACAGGACAGUCAUUACCUUUCUAUUAAUACUUUGUGUUUUAAUUUCACAUUAAUUUCCAUAUUGUAUAAACGACUGGAAAAAACUUGAGCCCCUGCCCCUGUAUAAUCAUGUGCAUGUCUCUGUUCUAGCUCCAAGGUGAAUCUUCACUGCUCAUGUUCUCCUCAGAAGCACUCACCUCACUCCCCUCAGGUUACUGUACACAUGCACCAACUGCCUGCUUCAGGUUUGGAUGGAGCUUCAUGGUUGUCUUUUGGAGAAAUGACCAGUCAAGUUGUGUUUGAAAUUUGAUUUUUUUCAGGGGCAAAAGGAGCCUCUGCAUUCUUGUCAAAUAUGUAAAUAGCAUGUUUUUGCAGGUGCUAAAAACCAGACUCUGAGUGUGUGUGUGUGUGUGUGUGUGUGUGUGUGUGCGUGUGUGUGUGUCUGUGUGUGCGUUCAAGUCACAUGACAUAUUUAACCGGAUGUAGCUGCAAGACGGAGCCUCGUUGACUCUCCGUUUCAACUUAUCUCAAAAGUGAGGACCUCAACCUAUAUACCAGUUUUUAAAUUGUGUUGAUAGGCCAAAUAAAACCAGAGUUAUGAUAAAUUAUGUCCGCGAUACUUUUUUUCUGCUUAUUUUGAUCACGUUCGGCGCUCGAUCGCGCUGUAUGAGACAGGAAAACAUAGCAUGCAGACAUUAGCGACAGGUCUUACAGGCGGAAAAGGCUUGCCAAAAGAAAAAAAAAACACACCACAACAUCUCUCCUAUUGGUGGAAAACUUCACCACAACAACCAAUCCAAAAUUAUAUGGUGACUGAUUGACAAGGGGCGGGCGCUUACGUUCUUCCUGCAACAUGAGAAGCGAGGGAGGGACUCUCAGCAGGGAUGCAGUCUGGGACACGUAGUUGCAAACCUAGCGA